RNAcentral lists this ribosomal RNA (295 nucleotides) under uncultured bacterium. RNAcentral describes it as "partial 16S ribosomal RNA". It matches the Rfam family "Bacterial small subunit ribosomal RNA", at positions 775 to 1067 of the family's 1533-position model. The record is from RNAcentral.
GGAUUAGAUACCCUGGUAGUCCACGCCGUAAACGAUGAGUGCUAGAUAUUAGAAUUUUAAAUUUUAGUGUCACAGCUAACGCAUUAAGCACUCCGCCUGGGGAGUACGGUCGCAAGAUUAAAACUCAAAGGAAUUGACGGGGGCCCGCACAAGCGGUGGAGUAUGCGGUUUAAUUCGAUGCUACGCGAAAAACCUUACCAACCCUUGACAUGUUGGUCGCGAGUUCCAGAGAUGGUUCUCUUCAGUUCGGCUGGACCAAACACAGGUGUUGCAUGGCUGUCGUCAGCUCGUGCUG